AUGCGUUGUUGGGUAGGGGAGCGUUCUGUAAGCCUGCGAAGGUGUGCUGUGAGGCAUGCUGGAGGUAUCAGAAGUGCGAAUGCUGACAUAAGUAACGAUAAAGCGGGUGAAAAGCCCGCUCGCCGGAAGACCAAGGGUUCCUGUCCAACGUUAAUCGGGGCAGGGUGAGUCGACCCCUAAGGCGAGGCCGAAAGGCGUAGUCGAUGGGAAACAGGUUAAUAUUCCUGUACUUGGUGUUACUGCGAAGGGGGGACGGAGAAGGCUAUGUUGGCCGGGCGACGGUUGUCCCGGUUUAAGCGUGUAGGCUGGUUUUCCAGGCAAAUCCGGAAAAUCAAGGCUGAGGCGUGAUGACGAGGCACUACGGUGCUGAAGCAACAAAUGCCCUGCUUCCAGGAAAAGCCUCUAAGCAUCAGGUAACAUCAAAUCGUACCCCAAACCGACACAGGUGGUCAGGUAGAGAAUACCAAGGCGCUUGAGAGAACUCGGGUGAAGGAACUAGGCAAAAUGGUGCCGUAACUUCGGGAGAAGGCACGCUGAUAUGUAGGUGAAGUCCCUCGCGGAUGGAGCUGAAAUCAGUCGAAGAUACCAGCUGGCUGCAACUGUUUAUUAAAAACACAGCACUGUGCAAACACGAAAGUGGACGUAUACGGUGUGACGCCUGCCCGGUGCCGGAAGGUUAAUUGAUGGGGUUAGCGCAAGCGAAGCUCUUGAUCGAAGCCCCGGUAAACGGCGGCCGUAACUAUAACGGUCCUAAGGUAGCGAAAUUCCUUGUCGGGUAAGUUCCGACCUGCACGAAUGGCGUAAUGAUGGCCAGGCUGUCUCCACCCGAGACUCAGUGAAAUUGAACUCGCUGUGAAGAUGCAGUGUACCCGCGGCAAGACGGAAAGACCCCGUGAACCUUUACUAUAGCUUGACACUGAACAUUGAGCCUUGAUGUGUAGGAUAGGUGGGAGGCUUUGAAGUGUGGACGCCAGUCUGCAUGGAGCCGACCUUGAAAUACCACCCUUUAAUGUUUGAUGUUCUAACGUUGACCCGUAAUCCGGGUUGCGGACAGUGUCUGGUGGGUAGUUUGACUGGGGCGGUCUCCUCCUAAAGAGUAACGGAGGAGCACGAAGGUUGGCUAAUCCUGGUCGGACAUCAGGAGGUUAGUGCAAUGGCAUAAGCCAGCUUGACUGCGAGCGUGACGGCGCGAGCAGGUGCGAAAGCAGGUCAUAGUGAUCCGGUGGUUCUGAAUGGAAGGGCCAUCGCUCAACGGAUAAAAGGUACUCCGGGGAUAACAGGCUGAUACCGCCCAAGAGUUCAUAUCGACGGCGGUGUUUGGCACCUCGAUGUCGGCUCAUCACAUCCUGGGGCUGAAGUAGGUCCCAAGGGUAUGGCUGUUCGCCAUUUAAAGUGGUACGCGAGCUGGGUUUAGAACGUCGUGAGACAGUUCGGUCCCUAUCUGCCGUGGGCGCUGGAGAACUGAGGGGGGCUGCUCCUAGUACGAGAGGACCGGAGUGGACGCAUCACUGGUGUUCGGGUUGUCAUGCCAAUGGCACUGCCCGGUAGCUAAAUGCGGAAGAGAUAAGUGCUGAAAGCAUCUAAGCACGAAACUUGCCCCGAGAUGAGUUCUCCCUGACUCCUUGAGAGUCCUGAAGGAACGUUGAAGACGACGACGUUGAUAGGCCGGGUGUGUAAGCGCAGCGAUGCGUUGAGCUAACCGGUACUAAUGAACCGUGAGGCUUAACCUU
This 1730-nucleotide ribosomal RNA is filed under the name Escherichia coli. RNAcentral describes it as "bacterial LSU rRNA". It matches the Rfam family "Bacterial large subunit ribosomal RNA", at positions 1216 to 2925 of the family's 2925-position model. Lineage: Bacteria; Pseudomonadati; Pseudomonadota; Gammaproteobacteria; Enterobacterales; Enterobacteriaceae. The record is from RNAcentral.